CGCUUUGCGAUACUAUGAUACAACUUAUGCUUAUUUUCAAAGAUAUACUAUGCCAGUUAGAAAUGAUUUGAAAAAUGUGUUUUUUUUUCAAAAGAUAUGCAUUGGGCUAGAAUUUAUAGGGAGAAUAUUAUGUAAUAGUAGCCAUUUUUCCAAGAGUAAAAAAAAAAAAGUGUAUGAUAUGUGAAAAUACAACUGAUAUGGCUCAUAGAACGGUUAGGGCAUAUAGAGGAGCAUUGAAUUGUAGAAUCACCAUUCAGUCCUAUGAGAAUUACGUGACUGAUCUGCUCCAUCCACUUGACGAACAUAUACAUGAUGUUUAUGAGAGAUGCAUGACAGCGGUGAAUGCUGGAAUGGAGAUAACGUAUAUUGAGGUUAUAAAUAACCUCAUACACUCCCUUCCACCUCAAUGGAGAGAUAUGAGAGUCACGGUUAGGGAUGUAAUGCUAGAGGAGUACCCAAAUAUAUUUGAGUUUGAAGUGUAUUGCCAAUCACUCCUAGACCUAUGGAGGGAAAACUUAGAACCUCAACCGGAGAUAGUAAUUGAACUUGAUGAAGAAGAAGAGUCUGAAGAAGGGAAUGAUCCUGAGCUCGAGCCACAGGUUGAGAUGGACAUAGAAUCCGGACCUGAGGCGGAAGACUCCUUUGGAGAUGAGGCUCUACCAAAGAAGAUCCGUAGAACUUAUAGGGAUUAGAUUUAAAUCCUUGUAACAACUUCCUUUAUUUCAAGAAAUAAAACUUUAUCUUCUUUGUUAGAAUUCGAAGUAUGAAACUAAUAAGAACCAUACGUUUUGUUUAAAGGAAAAUGGCCCGCGCAAACCAAACCAACUUGAUAAGAGAUCUCCAAGCGGUCCAAGACCUUGGCAGGCAAAACCCGAACCAGGCGCAACCCCUACCACUAGCUCCUAAUGCUCCUCCAACCCAUGCUUCAGUGGUCGAGCAAUUUAGAAGACACAAGCCCCCUACCUUCAAUGGAGCAGCUGAUCCACUUGCAGCCGAGGAGUGGCUUCGCAAGUCGAAGAGAAUAUUCCGAUUAAUAGGGUGCACGGACACCCAGAAGGUCCAGUGUGCUGAGUUUAUGUUCUCCGGUGAUGCAAGCCACUGGUGGAACUCGAUGUCAAGGACGAGGACCCCAGAGCAACAAGCGGAAUUGACUUGGGAGCGAUUUAAAGAGGAAGUAAUGGGCAAGUACUUCCCACAGUCUUUGAGGGAUCACAAAGAAAGUGAAUUUCUCCAACUCAAGCAAAGGACUAUGUCCCUGACUGAGUAUGAAAGGAAGUUUGACCAACUUUCAAGGUAUGCUCCACAUCUAGUGGAUACGGAGGACAAGAAAGUCAGGAGGUUUGAACAAGGAUUGAACCCAGAUAUAAGCAUGAUACUUAUGUCCCAUCGUUUCACCUCAUACCGUGAAAUGCUGGAAAGAGCUCAUGCUAUCUGGUACCAGAAGACUAGCACCGAGCAAUAUAGUCAACUGUUCAAUCAACCGGACAAUGACAGUAUGGAUAAAAGGAAAUGAAAUGGCCAGGACAAGGGAAAGGGCAAGUGGCAGAACAAGAAAGCUAAUGGGGGAGCCAAUGCCAACAAGAACAUUGUGCCAGUUAUAGAGCCAUGUCCUAAGUGUUUAAAGACGCAUCGUGGCGUGUGUUUGCAAGGGAAAAAUGUCUGUUUCAGAUGUGGCAAGCCAGGGCAUAUUUUUAAGGAUUGCCCCACAUUUACCCCGAAGAAGGAUGAUAACAAUGACUAGAACCAGAAAGGGAAAGCAUGAGUUUUGCAAUGACUCAGAAAGAUGCAGAGGAAAACUCGAACGUCAUAACAGGUACUUUAUUGAUAGCCAAUACGCCUGCGUAUGUAUUGUUUGAUUCAGGAGCCACACACUCCUUUGUAUCGACAACUUUUAUGGCUAAAUCUAGUAUUACCUGUGAUAAGUCGGAAGGUACGUUAGAGGUUAGCAUUCCUUCAGGCAACCCUUUGAGUACUGAUAGAAUAGCCAAAUCAGUAAGUAUUGAAGUUGAGGGAAAACCAAUGGAAGCGAACCUAUACAUGAUAGAAAUGAAGGAUUUUGAUGUAAUACUAGGCAUGGAUUGGUUGGGUUGUAAUUACGUCACCAUCCGAUGUAAGGAAAGGGAGGUAUCAUUUCAGAAACCAGGAGAGGAACCAUUUUCGUUCUUGAAAUGAAGACGAAACCCCUUAUUCGACCAGUAUCGGCUUUACAAGCUGAGAAGAUGUUGAGAAAAUAAACAUGUCAAGGAUAUUUAGUAAACAUCUCAGGAGGGAAACAAGAGACGAUAAAGGUUGAAGAUGCACUAAUAGUAUGGGGAUUCGUAGAUGUGUUUCCAGGAGAUCUAUCUGGUAUUCUACCAGAUAGGCAAGUGGAAUUCACCAUAGACCUAAUUCUCGGAGCGGCACCAGUGUCAAAAGCCUCAUAUCGAAUGACCCCGAAGGAACUACAAGAGUUAAAGAAGCAGUUGCAAGAACUCCUAGAUAUGGGCUUUAUACGGUUAAGUGUAUUUCCAUGGGGUGCGUCGGUGUUGUUCGUGAAGAAAAAGGAUGGAAGCAUGAGGAUGUGCAUCAAUUAUAGGGAGUUAAAUCGAUUAACUAUCAAGAAUAAGUACCUACUCCCGAGAAUCGAGGAUCUCUUAGAUCAAUUGAAAGGAGCUAAGGUAUUUUCCAAGAUCGACUUACGAUUGGGAUACCAUCAAUUGAAAGUAAAGUCAAAGGAUAUAUCCAAAACAGUUUUCAGAACUCGUUAUGGACACUACGAGUUUACAGUGAUGUCGUUUGGGCUAACCAAUGCACCUGCAGUGUUCAUGGACCUGAUGUAUCGUGUAUUUCAUCAGUACUUGGAUAAAUUUGUCAUGGUCUUCAUUGAUGACAUUUUGAUAUAUUCCAAGAGUAAGGAGCAACAUGAAAAGCACCUAAGAAUAGCAUUGGAGGUAUUACGCAAGGAGAAGCUGUAAGCCAAAUUCAAGAAGUGUGAGUUUUGGCUUGAACGAGUUGGAUUUCUUGGACAUAUAGUCACUGCCCAAAGGAUUGAGGUAGAUCCAGCGAAAGUGGAAGCAGUAACCAAUUGGAAAGCACCAACUAAUGCUGGCGAGGUAUGGAGCUUUCUAGGAUUAGCAGGAUAUUAUCGGAGAUUCAUAGAAGGAUUCUCCAAAAUAACUGGACCAAUGACGCAGCUUACAAGGAAGGGAGUAUGUAAAAUCUCAAGGAGUAUGGUUCUGCUACAGGAGUAUUUGCUGAUCCUGCAAAGACUCGGGCAAUUGUUGAGUGGCCUGAUCCCAAGAAUAUACAUGAUAGGAGUUUUCAUGGUUUAGCUACCUUUUAUCGUCGUUUCAUCAAGGGAUUUAGUACGAUCAUGUCUCCUAUCACAGAGUGUAUGAAGAGAGGAGAAUUUCAUUGGACACAGGAAGCGACUAAGGCCUUUCAGUUUAUCAAAAGGCGAAUGACUGAGGCUCCUGUCAUGCGACUCCCAGAUUUCUCCGAAGUUUUUGAGGUCGAAUGUGAUGCGUCAGGGGUGGGAAUAGGUGGAGUCUUGAGUCAAGAACGCUAUCCUAUUGCUUAUUUUAGUGAGAAAUUAAAUGAUGUCGAGCAACGAUACUCGACUUAUGAUAAGGAAUUGUACGCAAUUGUACAAGCCUUGCUCUAUUAGCGUCAUUACUUAUUACCCCACGAAUUUGUCCUCUUUUCUGACCAUGAGGCCCUUCGUUUCCUUAAUUCCCAGAGACGAUUGAAUUCUAGGCAUGGCCGUUGGAUCAAAUAUUUGCAGGCCUAUUCUUUUGGCUUAAAGCAUAAAAAUGGUGUUGAAAACCGAGUUGCUGACGCUUUAAACCGUCGCAUCUCCUUGUUGUCCGUCAUCAGUGUUAAGGUUCUAGGGUUUGAACGACUUAAGGAAGAGUACGAGUCAUGUCCCGAUUUCAGGAACAUUUUUCUUGCUUUGCAAAAUGGGAAGUUGGACACCACUGAUGUUUCCGUUUGGAGGAGGGCUAUCUUUUUAUAUCCAAUAAGUUGUGCAUCCCAAGGACUUCAAUGCGAGACUUUAUAGUGUGGGAAAGUCAUGCUAGUGGGUUGGCUGGACAUUUUGGGCGUGAUAAGACCAUAGAGGAAAUUGAACGUCAAUUCUAUUGGCCUAGUUUAAAGACAGACGUGGCCAAGAUUGUUGGCACAUGUAACACCUAUCAACGAUCUAAGCAAAAAAGGCAGAACACAGGCCUCUACACUCCUCUCCCCGUCCCUAUUUGUCCUUGGCAAGACGUGAGUAUGGAUUUCGUGCUAGGGUUGCCACGCACUCCAAAGAAACACGACUCCAUUUUCGUUGUCGUAGAUCGCUUUUGGAAAAUGGCACACUUUAUUCCCUGUAACAAGGCUUCCGAUGCAUCUAAGGUUGCUAAGUUAUACUUCCAUUAGAUCGUCAAGCUGUAUGGCCUCCCUAAGACCAUUGUCUCGGAUAGGGAUGUUUGUUUCACUAGCCAUUUUUGGCGAACCCUAUGGAGUAUGGUUAACACUAAACUGAAAUUCUCUACUGCAUACCACCCACAAACGGAUGGUCAAACUGAAGUUGUUAACUGUAGUCUUGGUAAUCUAUUAAAAUGUCUAGUCUAGAAAAAUCUUAGGAAUUGGGACUUAAUUCUUCCUACUGCCCAACUUGCAUAUAACAGUUCAGUGAAUCGGUCUAUAGGUAUGAGUCCUUUUGAGGUUGUUCAUGAUUUUAAGCUUAGGAAGCCGUUAGACCUUAUUCCCAUAUCUCCACAUGCUAGUGUGUUUGUGUCAGCUGAGUCUUUUGCACAACAUCUGCGUGACCUGCAUAUUGAGAUCAAUAAACAGUUAGAAGCGAAACGCCAUGUUGAAUUUGAUGUUGGGGAUUAUGUUAUGAUUUAAAUUAGACCGGAAUGGCGUCCAUCGGGGCCUGUUUCCAAAUUACAAGCUCGUAGUGCUGGUCCUUUUAAAAUUUUAAAGCGUGUUGGUCCAAAUGCUUAUGUCAUUGACUUACCAUCACAUUUUGGCUACCACCCUACCUUUAAUGUUGAAGACUUAGUUGUUUACAGAGGCCAAUUUCACCCCGCUGAUGAUCCUUUCACACCUCCAUCUCUGGACCCUCAUCCUGAACAUGUUAUCCCUACCCCAAUUCCACCUGCUGCAGUACAUAAAGAUAAAAUUGAUGCUAUUCUAGAUGCACAGACCAUAUUAACCAAGGAAGGAGACAUUCAACACUUCUUUGUUCGUUGGGCGGGCUGUCUUGAUUCUGAUUGUACUUGGAUCUCCAAAGGGAUACUUCAACAGCUUGAUCCUGAUUUGUUGGGGCAUUAUAGGAGUCAACAAAAUCUUCCCCUACCCGGACCACCACCCUUGCGUGUCUAUAGACGUCGAAAGAAGUUUGCUGAACCGAUCAGUUUGUGGCUAGGAAAUUGACAGCAGCCUUUUAUGAUCUACCUCCUCGACGGGGUCGAGUUUUUCUCCCACCCCGGGUGAGUUGAUGCAGACAUCAUCCUCAUCGGGCCAUUUGUUAGACCAUUUUAUCUUCUAGUUAUUUAUUUUGAGCUUAUGUCUCAUUGGGCUUGUAUAUAAGUUUGGCCCAAGCCCAAGUUAUUAUUUUGUUAUUUAUAUUAUUGUAAUUGGGAUUGAAAAGGCAGUUGAUGAAGGAAUGAAUUGAAUUGUGGUUUGCUACGUUUUCUUCCUCCCCUCUCCUCUCUCCUCUCGGUUUCUCCCCUUUUUCUUCUUCUUCUUCUUCUUCUUCUUCUUCUGUGGAUCUAUCUUCUCCUUCCUCUCAGGUUGUUUUUUUCUGCUGCAUCUAUUCUGCCUCUCCUGCUUGUUAUUUCUGAAAUUCUAUUAAUCCUACAUCAGGAUGCCUAUUUUGUUUAGCCAUUGGACAAAUAGUACAAAGGAAUUCUUUAGGACUAGAGAUUACAUUAGAAUUGGAAUUAACGUAACUUUUUAAACAAGUAGGAGACCAGUGACCUAGGCGAAAAUGCCAAAGAUUAAAACAACUUGAAAUUGCAGAGGAAGUAGCACAUGUAGGAGACUCUGUAGGAAACCUUGACAGAUGAUACGAUCCUCAUUUUUCUUCACCAAUACCAAUCGUCGUCCAUGAGAUAGGGUCCUGAAUAAAGCAGUAACGAGAUAGAAAAAUUAAGCAACUAUUAGAACUGUGUGUGAGUUUACUGGCUGAUAGCAAGUUAAAAGAAAAGGAAGGAACACACAAGACAUUUGUUAAACGAAGUUUAUUUGAAAUGAGAAUAGUGCCAAUAUGAGUAACUCGUACAGAAGCACCGGUAGGUAAUUGAACAAAAGAAUUUACUUUAGCUAUUAUAGUGUUGAGAAGAGAAGUUGAAGACACCAUGUGGUCUGUUGCUCCCAUAUCAAUAAUCCAGGGAGCAUUCGAAAAAGAAGUAGGAGUAGAAGAAAAUGAUAGGCAAUGAUGUAUAUAUGUCAUAUUGCAUAAUUUGCAUUGAGGCUGAAAUGAUGGGGGUGAGGUUAUCACACUUGACCAAAGAAGCGUCAACGGGUGGAGCAUUGACUGGUUUAAGUAAAUUGAGGAGCUGAUUGUAUUGUUCUUGAGUGAGUAGCAUUGAAGAAAGAUUCUGCUCGCUGGAAGAUGCCACUGAAUGAACUUGGCUUGAAGAAUUAAUUCCUUUACUCUUGCCUGAUUUAAAACCCUAGAGGAAAACCAAUAAUUCUGAAGCACUUGUCAGUCGUGUGGGAGGUAUAACCACAUUCAGCACAAUAUAAUUUUCCUUUUCGAGGACCAGAUGGCUGCUUGAAUGAACCAAAUGAAUAUUGAGGCAGAGAAGGACUAGGUGCUGUCUUGCUAGCCAGAGCAGCAGAGUCAAACUGAGGAGUAUAAUGACCAAUAUGUAUUUGAGUUUCCUCUUGUAAAAUCAAAGAGAAAACUUUGUUGAGAGAAGGCGAGGGAUCAGAUAACAGUAUUUGACCUCUUAAUGCAGCAAAACUCUCAUUCAGUCCCAUAAGAAAGUGCAGAACGUAAUCUUGAAGAUGAUAAUACAGUAGAGUUUUAACACUAGGACUGGAAUCAUUAGGUAAAGGACGAUAAUUGAAAUAUUCAUCCCACAAGGUUUUGAACUUGGUGAAAUAAUUAGUCACUGACGACGAACCUUGAGUAAGAGCGCAGAUCAACUUUUUCGAUUGAAAGAUGUGUGGAGCAUUUCCUUGACUAAAUCUCUCUUCCAGUUCUUUCUACAGGUCAGAUGUAGUAGCAAUAUAAAGAACACUAGCAGCAAUAUCUUUAUUCAAGGAGUUUAAGAUCCAAGAGCAAACAAUGUCAUUACAACGAAUCCAUCCUUGAUAAGAAGGAUCAGUUGUAGAUGGCUUUGGGAGAUUUCCAUUGAUAAAGCCAAGCUUGUUCUUGGCAGAGUUGGCCAUGGACAUUGAUCUCUUCCAAGGAAAGAAAUUGGAUCCGUUAAGAACUUAAGAAACCCAUACAGUACCAGGACUGUCAUUGUUUGCUAAGAACAAAGGAUUAGAAGAAUCUUCAGCAGCCAUAAUCACAAUCAGCAAAGGAACUAAUAUAGAACGCAGUAGAAGACAUUAAAUUGCUUUGAUACCAUAUCAAAAAAGGAGCUAGAAAAAGGUAAAAGAAUGGGUGAAUACGGAGAGAAUCAGACUCUCUUUUCUUUUGUAUUCUGUAAAAAACUGAUUGAUGUUUGUACAUUGAUUCUAUUUAUAGAAUUAGCUAUCAAAUUGCCAGCUACAGGUAACUGCAUUCGAACUGCUAACUAACAGCUGUAACUAUUUAUUCCAGCUCAUCUUUUCUAACUUCAACCGCCUGUAACUGCAGCUUCAACUUUAGUUUUUGUUUCAGCUUCAGCCACCGGUUUUGCUUCAACAAGUUGUUAGGUUGUAACACUGUUUCUUUUCAUCUUUUGAUUCAAUUCAGCUUGUGAGCACAUUUAAUCAAGGAACUUUGCACUCAUCAUCUGCGUCUGGUUUUAUGUCCAUUUGUAAACAAAACUUCUAACCUUUGAAAUGCCUGGUUGCACAUGUUUUCUUUAUCUUUCCUUUCCUUGCACAAGCAAACGUUGAAUCGCCUCUUCCUUAUGAUGAUAUUAUUUCUCAGAAAUUGCUCAAGAUUAUAAAAAAACAGUAAACAUAUUCAAAAAACUGUCUUUGUACUUCCUUUUUGUAGCCAUUCGCGGAGAUUGGUUUCUUGAUUUCUGACACACUAGAUGAAAGGAUCAAGCAAGGAUCACCAGGUACAAAUCAUUCCACGUGGUAGGAAAUUUUAUCUUCUAAUCACUUCUUCGGUUUUGUAAUAUAUUAGAAAGUUUUGUUCUCUGUUCUAUGUUUGGUGUAAAUAAAAUUGUAUCGUUGAUUUAAAUAGUGAAUUUUGUUAGUUGCAUAUAGAGAUAGAUACACAUAUACAAGUUAAGCAAGUUUUCUA
This 8389-nucleotide long non-coding RNA is filed under the name Olea europaea subsp. europaea. The record is from RNAcentral. Lineage: Eukaryota; Viridiplantae; Streptophyta; Magnoliopsida; Lamiales; Oleaceae.